Molecule: ribosomal RNA, 34 nt
Filed under: Colletotrichum truncatum
Lineage: Eukaryota; Fungi; Ascomycota; Sordariomycetes; Glomerellales; Glomerellaceae
Also listed under: 10 other names
Description: partial 28S ribosomal RNA
Source: RNAcentral
CCUCGGAUCAGGUAGGAAUACCCGCUGAACUUAA